Molecule: ribosomal RNA, 589 nt
Filed under: uncultured bacterium
Lineage: Bacteria
Description: bacterial SSU rRNA
Rfam family: Bacterial small subunit ribosomal RNA
Source: RNAcentral
UGCAGUCGCACGGGCAGCAAUGUCAGUGGCGGACGGGUGAGUAACGCGUAGGGAAGUGUCCAGAGGUGGGGGACAACCCCGGGAAACUGGGGCUAAUACCGCAUAUGAGCUGAGGCUCAAAGCAGUGAUGCGCCUUUGGAGUUACCUGCGUCCGAUUAGCUAGUUGGUGGGGUAAAGGCCUACCAAGGCGACGAUCGGUAGCUGGUCUGAGAGGACGACCAGCCACACUGGGACUGAGACACGGCCCAGACUCCUACGGGAGGCAGCAGUGGGGAAUAUUGGACAAUGGGCGCAAGCCUGAUCCAGCAAUGCCGCGUGGGUGAAGAAGGUCUUCGGAUCGUAAAGCCCUUUCGGCGGGGACGAUGAUGACGGUACCCGCAGAAGAAGCCCCGGCUAACUUCGUGCCAGCAGCCGCGGUAAUACGAAGGGGGCUAGCGUUACUCGGAAUUACUGGGCGUAAAGGGCGCGUAGGCGGCGCUCCAAGUUAGGCGUGAAAGUCCUGGGCUCAACCUGGGAACUGCGCUUAAGACUGGAGUGCUUGAGGAUGGAAGAGGCUCGUGGAAUUCCCAGUGUAGAGGUGAAAUUCGUA